This 616-nucleotide long non-coding RNA is filed under the name Chlamydomonas reinhardtii. RNAcentral describes it as "long non-coding RNA (CREI_LNC000056)". The record is from RNAcentral. Lineage: Eukaryota; Viridiplantae; Chlorophyta; Chlorophyceae; Chlamydomonadales; Chlamydomonadaceae.
GCACGGACUCGCACACGCCCAACGCCGGUGGCCUGGGUAUGUGCGCGGUGGGCGUGGGUGGCGCCGACGCGGUGGACGUGAUGGCGGGCCUGCCCUGGGAGCUGAAGGCGCCCAAGGUGAUCGGUGUCAAGCUGACGGGCAAGAUGUCCCGGUGGACCUCGCCCAAGGACGUCAUCCUCAAGGUGCGAGCCUGGCAGGGCUGCUGGUUGGGGUAGUCUUGGGGCAUGGCAGGGUUGGCGCGGGCGCAGGCUGGUAGGGCCCUAGCCAGGGCGGAACGGGCUGGUUUGGGACGAUGGUACCGCUACGGUUAACGGUGAUGAGAGGCAGUGAUGCACCUGUGGUGGUACCGUAACCUCCGCGCUCCAGUCGGACCGGCCCCUCUCCUACCUUCUCCGCCAUACCGCUUUGGCAACCUGCAGGUGGCGGGCAUCCUGACGGUGAAGGGCGGCACUGGCGCCAUCGUGGAGUACUUCGGCCCGGGCGUGGACCACAUGAGCUGCACCGGCAUGGCAACGGUUUGCAACAUGGGCGCUGAGAUCGGUGCCACCACCUCCAUGUUCCCUUACAACAAGCGCAUGCACGACUACCUGGUCGCCACCGGCCGCGCGCCGGCCGC